This is a non-coding RNA of Sus scrofa (pig), 538 nucleotides long. The record is from RefSeq and is a predicted model, not a curated record. Lineage: Eukaryota; Metazoa; Chordata; Mammalia; Artiodactyla; Suidae.
GCGCAGGAACCGCAGCAGGAAGGCGUCGCUGAGCGGCCCUGGGAGCAGCGGAGAGCCCGGCGCCCGGGCCCGGCGCCGCAGCUCUGCCAGGCUGGGCUGCAGCAGCGGCGAGUGGUCGGGCAGCAGGCUGAGCUGCGCCCCCGCCGGCCCCGGCGCCUCCGCCAUGCCCGCCGCCCUACCCACACCGCUGCCUCCGCGCCGGGAAAAGCGCGGCCGGCCGGCCACCCCUCCUUCGCCGGCCGCUCGCCCUGCCCGCCGGGCUGUGCCGGGACCUCCGCAGAGGGAGACACGUGGUGGCCCCACCGCGCUCCGCGUCCCGCAGGCUCCAGGGCCGCAGCUGAGAAUUCGUUUCAACUGAGCCACGACGGGAACUCUGACAUCUAUGAUUGAUUCAAGCUCCAGCCUCUCUCCCUGGAAAUCAGGAGGUGGGAGUGAAAGUAUGGUCUAUUCAGGCUUGGAUCUCCUGGCAACCAGCAGGCCCAUUUCUGAGUCAUUUCCCAAAGUCACCUCAUUGUCAUAAACUCAGUUGGGGUUGAAA